Molecule: ribosomal RNA, 465 nt
Filed under: Vreelandella stevensii
Lineage: Bacteria; Pseudomonadati; Pseudomonadota; Gammaproteobacteria; Oceanospirillales; Halomonadaceae
Description: partial 16S ribosomal RNA
Rfam family: Bacterial small subunit ribosomal RNA
Source: RNAcentral
CCUACGGGCGGCAGCAGUGGGGAAUAUUGGACAAUGGGCGAAAGCCUGAUCCAGCCAUGCCGCGUGUGUGAAGAAGGCCUUCGGGUUGUAAAGCACUUUCAGUGGGGAAGAAAGCCUUGGGGCUAAUACCCUCGAGGAAGGACAUCACCCACAGAAGAAGCACCGGCUAACUCCGUGCCAGCAGCCGCGGUAAUACGGAGGGUGCGAGCGUUAAUCGGAAUUACUGGGCGUAAAGCGCGCGUAGGCGGUCUGAUAAGCCGGUUGUGAAAGCCCCGGGCUCAACCUGGGAACGGCAUCCGGAACUGUCAGGCUAGAGUACAGGAGAGGAAGGUAGAAUUCCCGGUGUAGCGGUGAAAUGCGUAGAGAUCGGGAGGAAUACCAGUGGCGAAGGCGGCCUUCUGGACUGACACUGACGCUGAGGUGCGAAAGCGUGGGUAGCAAACAGGAUUAGAUACCCUAGUAGUC